This is a long non-coding RNA of Lynx canadensis (Canada lynx), 341 nucleotides long. RefSeq lists it as uncharacterized. The transcript is spliced from 2 exons. The record is from RefSeq and is a predicted model, not a curated record. NCBI's taxonomy places the organism in Eukaryota, Metazoa, Chordata, Mammalia, Carnivora, Felidae.
GGAGACUCCGCGAGCUAGAGGCUGAGAUUCGGGAAUGGGGAGGAUACUAGAGUCUGAGAAACAGCAGAGUCUCCUACAGGAGAUGGGGGAGUAGAGGCCGAAAGCCGAGUGGACGAGAGGGCUACAGGGAGAGCUAGAGAGCGCCGAGGGAGACAGAGAGGAGAGGCCUCGAGGGUUAAGACUGAUUACUGCACCCCUGGGAGGAGGGAAAGGGACACGAGAAUGUGAAAUGAGGAACUAUGAAAGAGGACCUUCCAAGCACUGAUGGCAGCGUGAGGUUGAGUGGCCCCCCACCACCAAAGAAGGAGCAAAAACCCUCAAUAAAUAGCAUUUGUCCUGGG